Myotis davidii is the source of this 534-nucleotide long non-coding RNA. RefSeq lists it as uncharacterized. The record is from RefSeq and is a predicted model, not a curated record. The transcript is spliced from 3 exons. NCBI's taxonomy places the organism in Eukaryota, Metazoa, Chordata, Mammalia, Chiroptera, Vespertilionidae.
GUGCAUGUUAAUGAGGAAUACAUCAUCAUGGGCUAUGAAGAUGAGGAGCGCUCCAGAUUACUGUUGGUGGAGGGUUCUAUUGCUGAAAAAUGGAAGGAUCGACUGGGUAAAAAAGUUAAGCGCUGGGAUAUGAAGCUCCGUCACCUUGGACUGAAUAAAAGUGAUUCUAGCCAUAGUGAUUCCACGCAGAGUCAGAAGUCUGGCAGGAGCUCCAACCCCCGGCAAGCGCGCAACUAAACCCUGAAACGCGGAAAGAACGCUGGUGGACUUCCUAUUAAGACUUGCAUUGCUGGACUAGCAAAGGAAAAUUGCACUAUUGCACGUCAUAUUCUAUUUUUUACCACAAAAACUCAUGUGGUAACUGAUAUUACUUCUAUUUUCUCUUUUGUUUUCUGCUUUUCUCUUUCCUCCUCCCCGCCCCCGUUUUUUGUGGUCUGGGUGCAGAUCCUUAAAUAUAUGAUAUGUAUUCUAUUUCACUAGUCAUGGGAAAACUGUUCUUUGCAAUAAUAAUAAAUUAAACAUGUGGAUACCAGG